GCGGCGUGCCUAAUACAUGCAAGUCGAGCGGACAGAUGGGAGCUUGCUCCCUGAUGUUAGCGGCGGACGGGUGAGUAACACGUGGGUAACCUGCCUGUAAGACUGGGAUAACUCCGGGAAACCGGGGCUAAUACCGGAUGGUUGUCUGAACCGCAUGGUUCAGACAUAAAAGGUGGCUUCGGCUACCACUUACAGAUGGACCCGCGGCGCAUUAGCUAGUUGGUGAGGUAACGGCUCACCAAGGCGACGAUGCGUAGCCGACCUGAGAGGGUGAUCGGCCACACUGGGACUGAGACACGGCCCAGACUCCUACGGGAGGCAGCAGUAGGGAAUCUUCCGCAAUGGACGAAAGUCUGACGGAGCAACGCCGCGUGAGUGAUGAAGGUUUUCGGAUCGUAAAGCUCUGUUGUUAGGGAAGAACAAGUGCCGUCAAAUAGGGCG
This 441-nucleotide ribosomal RNA is filed under the name Bacillus amyloliquefaciens. RNAcentral's name for it is "bacterial SSU rRNA". It matches the Rfam family "Bacterial small subunit ribosomal RNA", at positions 39 to 468 of the family's 1533-position model. Lineage: Bacteria; Bacillati; Bacillota; Bacilli; Caryophanales; Bacillaceae. RNAcentral also lists the same sequence under 1 other name. The record is from RNAcentral.